CAAUAGCGUAUAUUAAAGUUGUUGCGGUUAAAAAGCUCGUAGUUGGAUUUCUGCCGAGGACGACCGGUCCGCCCUCUGGGUGAGUAUCUGGUUCGGCCUGGGCAUCUUCUUGGAGAACGUAUCUGCACUUGACUGUGUGGUGCGGUAUCCAGGACUUUUACUUUGAGGAAAUUAGAGUGUUUCAAGCAGGCACACGCCUUGAAUACAUUAGCAUGGAAUAAUAAGAUAGGACCUUGGUUCUAUUUUGUUGGUUUCUAGAGCUGAGGUAAUGAUUAAUAGGGAUAGUUGGGGGCAUUCAUAUUCCAAUGUCAGAGGUGAAAUUCUUGGAUUAUCGGAAGAUGAACUUCUGCGAAAGCAUCUGCCAAGGAUGUUUUCAUUGAUCAAGAACGAAAGUUUAGGGGGAUCCGAAGAGUAGUAUACGAGUAACCUAACCUACUUCGUAGGAACGUACGUCCAACCGGAACGGACCAACCAACGGGGAAGGGGUAAGGUA
Molecule: ribosomal RNA, 493 nt
Filed under: uncultured eukaryote
Lineage: Eukaryota
Description: bacterial SSU rRNA
Rfam family: Eukaryotic small subunit ribosomal RNA
Source: RNAcentral